CUGAAAAAGAAGACCUCCCUCACAAUCCAAACAAAACUCACCAACGACGUAGAUGCAGUUCUUGAACGUGACGGCGUUGGUGCAUUUGGUCUCAAUGGGGAUUGGCGCUCGCAGUUCCCAGCUGUCCGUUCCUGGUUCCCAGCACUGAACCUUAUCGGUGGACAGUUUUCCGUUUGGACCCCCACCGAUCACGUAGAUCCAGCGGUCGAAGUUGGCUGCAGCAAAGGAGCUCACACCGAUAGCCAGAGGAGUCACCUGGAGCCAGCACAAGAGCAGAGAAUAAAGAAGUCGAGGAGGAGUAGAAGCAUGAAACGUCUUGAGGAAGACGAGAGUUGAGGCAACCGUUCCUAAGUAAGGAAGUGCCUAAAACCACAAGAACUGCAUCCUCUUCCUGUUGAUUUGAUCAGCUUUCUAAAUUCACCAUUAAAAACUUCACAUUGAACUUUCAGUGAGAGAGUGUUAAACUCACAAGGGGCCAAAAUCUAAAACACACCUUAGUUCGCAAACAGG
Molecule: long non-coding RNA, 510 nt
Organism: Oryzias melastigma (Indian medaka)
Lineage: Eukaryota; Metazoa; Chordata; Actinopteri; Beloniformes; Adrianichthyidae
Exons: 3
Source: RefSeq, a predicted model, not a curated record